AUUCGCUGUCUGUCUUUCCACCUGCGCUGCAUGGUGCACGCGACGCAAGCGUUGGCCAGGCAUUGGGGACUAGGCUAAAUGGCCAUGUUGGAACCAUGCCCAUGGACCAAAAUAUGGUGAGUCAGUGAGCUCAUCUCUACCCCCUGGUGGUGUACUCUGGAACCCCCAGUCCUCCUCAAAACUGCUCUGAUCAGUGGGAUGCGGUUGCCGGGCGACCAGUGGAGUGGUGGAACGCUCAGGAGCUUACAUGUAGGAGAGGGGACAACACGGGAUAGAGAACAGAAGGCAAUGUCAUCAUCAUCAUCCUCACCACCACCACAAUCAUCAUCAUCACUAUCAACAUGCAAUAUUGCAUUUUGCUGGCUGGAUGUUUGAACUUGGCCUCUCUUCCUCCCUCAUUUCAUCUAAGCUCUUUCCUUCUCUCUCGGUAGCUAGGUUUCCAUCCAAUUUAAUGUGAAUAUUCUCAAAUCUGCAUAAGAAAAUAUGUACAUUUUCCCACCAGUGGUGUGUCUCCACCAAACGGACUUGUUGCGGAUUUAAAAACAGGAACUCAGUCUGGCUUUCAACUUGAAACAGUAGAAUGCACAAGGUGCAACUUCUAAAUUGGGUAGUAGAUUAUCAGUUCCUCUUGUCAUGUCAGUCAUUGUAUACCUUAGAGAGCUAUUUAUAACUUGUCAGAAAUGUCCAGAUCAACUAAACAUUUGUUUGCUAGGUUUUUUAGCCCAUAGAUUUUGUUGAGUCACUCAAAUAUCACAUGAAUACACAUUAGACAUGGCAAAAUGUAAAGAGUUGCAAGAAAAUGACCUUUAAAAACAGCUAAAUAUUCUCUGCACCCCAUUACAAAAUGUGUAGAAUUGCUGGAAAUAAACUUUAAACCUAAA
Oncorhynchus nerka (sockeye salmon) is the source of this 881-nucleotide long non-coding RNA. RefSeq lists it as uncharacterized. The record is from RefSeq and is a predicted model, not a curated record. The transcript has 2 exons. NCBI's taxonomy places the organism in Eukaryota, Metazoa, Chordata, Actinopteri, Salmoniformes, Salmonidae.